RNAcentral lists this ribosomal RNA (254 nucleotides) under uncultured bacterium. RNAcentral describes it as "partial 16S ribosomal RNA". It matches the Rfam family "Bacterial small subunit ribosomal RNA", at positions 524 to 776 of the family's 1533-position model. The record is from RNAcentral.
UACGGGGGGAGCAAGCGUUGUUCGGAUUUACUGGGCGUAAAGGGCGCGUAGGCGGCCACGACAAGUCACUUGUGAAAUCUCCGGGCUUAACUCGGAACGGUCAAGUGAUACUGUCGGGCUAGAGUGCAGAAGGGGCAACUGGAAUUCUCGGUGUAGCGGUGAAAUGCGUAGAUAUCCGGAGGAACACCAGUGGCGAAGGCGGCCUUCUGGGAUGCUCCUGACGCUCAGACACGAAAGCUAGGGGAGCGAACGGG